RNAcentral lists this long non-coding RNA (1178 nucleotides) under Nicotiana benthamiana. Its description in RNAcentral is "long non-coding RNA (NBEN_LNC042263)". The record is from RNAcentral. Lineage: Eukaryota; Viridiplantae; Streptophyta; Magnoliopsida; Solanales; Solanaceae.
UUAUUCGUAAUUUGGCACUUAAAAGCACUUUUAAAAAAGCUUGGCCAAACACAAAUUAUUUUUCAAAAGUGCUUUUCCGAUUGAUUAGCCUGCAAAAGUACUUUUUUCAAAAGCACUUUUAAAAAAAUACUUCUCAAAAUAAGUCAAUUUCUCCGGCUUGGCAAACAGGCUAUUACUCUCUCUUUUCUUUUCUUUUUCUUUAAUUUGCUUUGAGAUAUAUUUAUGUGGUGGCAUAUAAUUUUUAAUGUGGUAUUUUGGAAAAAAUGUAUUUUUUGGGUGAUAUUGGAAAGGGAAAGGGGCAAAUUUAUCACCUUACUUUUGGGUAUUACUAACAUUUAAUAUAUAUUAUAUUAUUCGGAUAAAUUUAGUUUUAUUAUUAUAUUAUCAUGCCAAAUUUAUCCUCUAUCGUCUGUAGACAUUUAAAAUUAUCAAAGCUCUAACUGUAACCCACAAUCUUCAAAUCCCUUUUGUUUAAGGCACUUAAUUUUCAUCUUCAUCCCACCAUUUGUCAGAAAUUAUCACUAAGUGUACUAAAUAAUACAAAUUAAAUUCAUGGAUUCUAUUAUUAUCUAACCAACUAGUGGAUAUUCCAAGCACACACAAUAGCUAGGUUGCGAGAAAUUAAAAGGAGAGGAGCUUUGUAAUCUUUAUUUGUUUAUGAAACUCUUUUUCUUCCGGUUAUGUAUGAAUAAAGCAAGAUUUUCCUAAAUAAACUACAAUAACAAUGGCAUGCACCAAAACAGGCCGAUUGUAUUCAUUUCUUAAUAACAAGUACAAGCUUAGAUAAGUACAUCAAUUCAAGGGUUCGUUUAGUAUGAGAGAUAAAGGAUAAUUAAUUUCGAAAUCAAAUUUAGUAUGAGUUAAUUUUUUAGUUGGUUGGGAUAAAAUCGCGAUAUGACUAAUUUGGAAUUAGUUAUCCCGGAAUUGUAUUAUUUUUUAAUCCUUAUGGGAGGGUGGGAUAACUAUUCCCAGGAUAAAUAAUCAUGGGAUUAUUAAUCCCGGAUAACGUAUUUCCAACUAAGGAGUCGUUUGGUUGGAAAGAUGUUAUUCCAGGAUCAGUUAUCCCGAAAUUAGUUAUUCCACUUUUCUAUGGGGAUAAGAAAGCAUUAGAAUCCGGGGAUAAUUAAUUUCGGGAUUAGUUAUUACCACAUUUUUCUACCAACCAAACAUGAGAUAAC